GACAGAGGCCCCGAGCGUUAAUCGGAAUUACUGGGCUUAAAGGGUGCGUAGGCCGGUCCGAAAGUGCUUUGUGAAAUCCCCGGGCUCAACCCGGGAACAGCGGGGCAUACUGCGGAUCUUGAGGAAGGUAGGGGCCGCGAGAACAGUAGGUGGAGCGGUGAAAUGCGUAGAUAUCUACUGGAAUGCCGAUGGUGAAGACGCGCGGCUGGGCCUUUCCUGACGCUGAGGCACGAAAGCGUGGGGAGCAAACAGGAUUAGAUACCCUGGUAGUCCACGCCGUAAACGAUGCACGCUAGAUCGGUGCCGCUCUCACGCGGGAUCGGUCGUAGUAAAAACGAUAAGCGUGCCGCCUGGGGAGUACGGUCGCAAGGCUAAA
Molecule: ribosomal RNA, 376 nt
Filed under: uncultured bacterium
Lineage: Bacteria
Description: bacterial SSU rRNA
Rfam family: Bacterial small subunit ribosomal RNA
Source: RNAcentral